CAUAAAAAUCUCAUAUUAAUUUGGUAACUGUUGGGUAUAGAAUACCCCCCGACCGAAGUUUGUAAAAGAUCGAUCCUUCCAGGGCUCUUCCGGCUCCCGACCUUAUGUGUGGUGUCUCUCUGAACCCCCUCGACCGUCCGGAUUUCUUCGACAAUGAACUUCUGCACUCAUCCACUGGGCCACUCCAAAGGCCCUCUGAGCCCCACUGUUAGCCGACCUUCUGCAGCAACCAACUAUUUUUCGAACUUCGUCUGCAUCCGAGCUUCCCCGACAGCGAGACUUCUACGGUAACCAGACUCCAUCCAAGUUUCCACAGUAGUCGAUCACCUUUAGGAUCCCAAUCGAGCUCCCACGAGAGCCGAACUUCUACUACGAAUAGUCUACUCUAAACUCCUACAACGGGCUAUCUAUCCCAGACAUCUACUGUAAGCAAAUUCCAUUCAAGCCUCUACUGUAAACAAAUUCUCUCCGAACUUCUAUUACAGGUAGACUUCAGCCAAGCUACUUCUCCGACGGAUGGGUUCCGGACGAGCUCCAGCAGCUGGGUCCCUGCGAUAGCCA
This 561-nucleotide long non-coding RNA is filed under the name Elaeis guineensis (African oil palm). Its description in RNAcentral is "long non-coding RNA (EGUI_LNC056948)". The record is from RNAcentral. Lineage: Eukaryota; Viridiplantae; Streptophyta; Magnoliopsida; Arecales; Arecaceae.